ACGUAGGUGGCAAGCGUUGUCCGGAUUUACUGGGUGUAAAGGGCGUGUAGGCGGGCCUGCAAGUCAGAUGUGAAAUGCCAGGGCUUAACCCUGGAGCUGCAUUUGAAACUGCGGGACUUGAGUGAUGGAGAGGCAGGCGGAAUUCCUAGUGGAGCGGUGAAAUGCGUAGAUAUUAGGCGGAACACCAGUGGCGAAGGCAGCCUACUGGACUUUCUCUGACGCUGAGGCGCGAAAGCGUGGGGAGCAAACAG
This 251-nucleotide ribosomal RNA is filed under the name uncultured prokaryote. RNAcentral's name for it is "partial 16S rRNA". It matches the Rfam family "Bacterial small subunit ribosomal RNA", at positions 525 to 775 of the family's 1533-position model. The record is from RNAcentral.